CCCAGAUGAAACAGGCCACCGCCACUGGGUAGAUCUCAAACAGCGCUAUCGAUGUUUCAAAACUGCAAAAAGCGGUUGGCCAGUGGCUGGCGAACCCCCUGCGGGGAAUCUAUCACCAGGAAGUCAUCCAGCAGGAAGUCAUCCAGCAGGUGAAGUACUGACGGGACUUUGGCCCUAUUCAGCAGGAUCCAAGGGAGCGCUUCAGACACUUUGUUAAAUAUGCAUGGAGUGCUCCUGCACCCAAAAGUUAACCGCACUGCAAAGUAGAACGCCUCCCACCGGAUCCAGGAGAGAUGCCAUUGAGUCAGGUAACGACACCCACGAUAACGACACCCACGUCUGGUUGAUUAGGGGCGGGGUCAGGUAGUACCAACCAGCUGGCCGCGCGCCCCCAGGAAGAGGAGGCCACCAGGAUUUCAUUCUGAUGUUUGGAGAGGAUGUAUCAGGCAAGCUUCCGGAGAGGUGGCAAACUACAAUCAAGAAAAACAUAAUCCAACGAUGCUGAAAGCUUCCAUCCAACAGUAGGCUUAAGGAACAUCUGCUGGCAGCUGAUCCGCCUGAGAAUCCCACUGAAGCCGAUCUUGACUUUUGUUUGGACAGUGACUUGUCUUGCAGAUGCACCUUAUUCCACCUUCUGCUCAAGGUUGUAAAAAAACAGGAAAGGUGUCUGCAUCCCAACCAAAGAAGCAUUUUGUGGCAUUCAAGAAGACUGGAACAAACAUCCAAGAGCACCGUGAUGCCAUCACUACGAGUACUCCACCCUACCUCCUGAUAUUUCGAGCAAGGAAGAAUGUGAUCCACCAGUUCUUCACCCUUGACAAGAAUUCCAUACCCCACAGGUCAACCUCUUCUCUUGGUGCUUUUUGAUGAACUGUUCAAGGCACAUAAAACGCCAUGCUACACAACACGUACACGUUCAUCCAAACUGCUGUCUAAAAUAUUGAUGUUGGCAAAGUCAAAGAGUCCUUGUGUUGCCAAAGUUCAUGGUUACUGGAAAUAUAUUCGCCUUAAAUGUGCGCAGACUGGAUGUGAGUGUUUGGUACUUUUUUCAGGUUUUAGGAAACAUUUACACACCAAACAAACAGUAUAUUGACCAAGAAGUUCACACUGAUGUUAAUUUAAGCAUCGUAGGAGAGUUGAUGUAGCAUGUGAGAUGCCUGUUUUGUACGACUAAAGAUGACAAUGUAUUACUGUUUGGAAAAUUGCUGGAAAUUGUGUGUUUUGAUCAGUAUUGCCAUGCCUUUAAGGUCAGGCUGCAUCCUGACAAGAUUAUUAAGGUAUUGCACAUAAAUUGGCUAUUUACUUGAAACCAUUCAAUGUUCAAAUAGAGUGUAGGCCAUUCCCCCUUUUUAAGGAAUGUCGUCCCUUAUUGCCAUUUAAAGCCGAUCGAAGGUCAAAUGUUUUGCAUUGUUUCUCUGCACGAUAAAGAGCUGUGAGAUGCAUUAUUUGGUGUUUUUGUGAUUUUACUAAUUCAUGGCGUUUGAAAAAGCUGUAAUGAAUACAUUUGAUGUAAUUUGAUACUGAGGAAAUUAUUUGUAAUUAGUGUUAAUUUUCAGUGACACUAAGCAGUGUCAAUGGAUGGUUAGAAUUUCAGUGUGUCAGUGCUGUUUUCACAAUAAGAGUAAAUUGUCAACACUGUAGUGUAUAACAUGAGCACUUACCGG
Molecule: long non-coding RNA, 1664 nt
Organism: Gasterosteus aculeatus aculeatus (three-spined stickleback)
Lineage: Eukaryota; Metazoa; Chordata; Actinopteri; Perciformes; Gasterosteidae
Source: Ensembl